GUUGAAUCACUGGUUGCCGCACGAUCGCCAAAGUUAAGCAACGUCGAGCCUGGACAGUAUCUCGAUGAGUGAUUACUUGGGAAUACCAGGUGCUGUAAUC
This is a non-coding RNA of Acanthosepion pharaonis, 100 nucleotides long. The record is from the annotation of a GenBank genome assembly. Lineage: Eukaryota; Metazoa; Mollusca; Cephalopoda; Sepiida; Sepiidae.